ACGAACGCUGGCGGCGUGCUUAACACAUGCAAGUCGAACGGAAAGGCCCUGCUUUUGUGGGGUGCUCGAGUGGCGAACGGGGGAGUAACACGUGAGUAACCUGCCCUUGACUUUGGGAUAACUUCAGGAAACUGGGGCUAAUACCGGAUAGGAGCUCCUGCUGCAUGGUGGGGGUUGGAAAGUUUCGGCGGUUGGGGAUGGACCCGCGGCUUAUCAGCUUGUUGGUGGGGUAGUGGCUUACCAAGGCUUUGACGGGUAGCCGGCCUGAGAGGGUGACCGGCCACAUUGGGACUGAGAUACGGCCCAGACUCCUACGGGAGGCAGCAGUGGGGAAUAUUGCACAAUGGGCGGAAGCCUGAUGCAGCAACGCCGCGUGCGGGAUGACGGCCUUCGGGUUGUAAACCGCUUUCGCCUGUGACGAAGCGUGAGUGACGGUAAUGGGUAAAGAAGCACCAGCUAACUACGUG
This 467-nucleotide ribosomal RNA is filed under the name uncultured bacterium. Its description in RNAcentral is "partial 16S ribosomal RNA". It matches the Rfam family "Bacterial small subunit ribosomal RNA", at positions 29 to 507 of the family's 1533-position model. The record is from RNAcentral.